UCUCUCAGCACUUCAUGCGGUAACGUCUUCAACAUAUUAAACUUGAACCUUGGACAAUGUUUACAUAUUCUGGAUGCCAUCCCCCGAAACCCUCUUAUGUUCUCAUUAGUAACACUUUGAUCACAAUUGUGCACAGAUUUUUAAGGCAAAAUAACGGGACGAUCGUCACCUUCAGGUUUGUACGUUGAGGCUUUUGAUGACGACGCAAUUCAAAUAUUUGCGUUUUUUGCUUCGUUCACGGCUGAUUUACACCUUCGCAUUGUUUCCGUAAACCGCAUCUUGCACCUUUUCCAAUGACAAAUGCAUGGAGCCACCGCUGGAUAUUUUCAGCAGUCAAUCCCUCAGGCCGUCUACUCUCUUGGGGGAACUUAGGCCAUUGCUCUUCCCUUUUUGUCAUUCGUGCUAUCUUGUUUUACUGUAAGCAAUAGCAAAAGAACACAAGCAUCCGUCGAGUGCAGUCGAACCGAAGAAAAUGCUGCCGGGAAGGGAGUUUGGAUUGGCUCUAACGUCUCUGCUUUCUUGGUUGCUGUUUGGUGACAGUUCCAGCGAUCCCGAAGGAUUCGUCCGCGACGUGUCGACUAUUCGGAGUGAAUAUGAUUUUAUUAUAAUCGGAGCUGGAUCAGCCGGCGCUGUUAUCGCUAAUCGUCUAACUGAAGUGGAGGGUUGGAGCGUGUUGUUGCUGGAGGCUGGAGAUGAUGAAAGUAUAACUGGACAAAUACCACUGUUCGCUGGUAGCUUACAAUUGACGAAUUUGGACUGGCAGUACAAAACAGUCCCUCAGGACAACGGUUGCCAAGGAUAUGCUAAUCGCAAGUGCAACUGGCCUCGGGGUAAGAUGUUAGGUGGAAGCUCCUCUCUCAAUUACAUGUUGUACGUUCGAGGAAACAAGCGAGACUACGACAAGUGGAGAGAUGACGGAAAUGUUGGUUGGGGAUACGACGAUGUUUUACCAUAUUUCCUUAAAUCAGAAGAUAAUCAAAAUCCUUUUCUCGCCGGAACGAAAUACCACGGCAAAGGCGGGUAUUUGACGGUUGGUGAAGCUGCUUUUCGUUCACCGUUAGGUGCCGCAUUCAUUCAAGGCGGGGUGGAAAUGGGAUACCAAAAUCGGGACUGUAAUGGCGAAUUCCAAACAGGUUUUAUGUUUCCCCAGGGAACUGUGCGUCGUGGAAGGCGUUGUUCAACUUCGAAAGCUUUUCUACGGCCAGUCCGCAAUCGACCGAAUCUUCACAUUUCUAAAAAUUCGCACGUCUUGAAAAUUAUCAUCGAUCCUGAUACGAAAACAGCGACGGGAGUUCAAUUUGAAAAGCGUGGAAGGAAGUAUGUUGUCAAGGCCAAUAAAGAAGUUGUGUUAUCUGCCGGAAGUAUUGCUUCUCCGCAAAUUCUCAUGUUGAGCGGAGUUGGUCCAGCGGAUCAUUUGAAAGAGAAAGGCAUUACUCCAAUAUUGGAUCAACCCUUCGUUGGAGAAAACUUGCACGAUCACGUUGGAAUCAUCGGAAUGGUUUUCCUUAUCGAUAAGCCGUAUUCUGUUAUUUCGACUACCAGAGUUAUGAAUUUACCAGUAAUUCUCAAUUAUACUCUCUUCGGAGGAACCACCAUGUCUCUGUUAGGCGGGGUGGAAGGACUUGGUUUUAUCAAAUCGAAAUUUGCUGAUGCUGCAGAUGACUCGCCGGAUAUUCAAUUGCACUUUGGUUCCGGCAGUGAAAUAUCUGACGACGGUACUGCCGUCCGAUUCGCUCAUGGCUUUUCCGAUGAAUUGUGGAAUGAGUACUACAAACCAAUAGUCAACAGGGAUAGUUGGUCCGUCUUCCCUUUGUUUUUACAUCCAAAAUCGCGAGGAAAUAUUCGACUGAAUUCGAACGAUCCCUACGACAAACCCCUCAUCAACCCGAACUACUUCUCAGAUGCUCGUGAUUUGGAAGUGACUGUCGAAGCGGUCAAAUUCUGUUUAGCUCUCAGUAAAACGGAAGCGUUGCAGAAAUUUAAUUCCAAGUUGUACGACAAACCUUUCCCAGGAUGCGAAGAUCAACCACUGUGGACGGAUGAUUAUUGGAAAUGCUGGAUCAAGAGAUCCAGUUUCACUUUGGCACAUACGGUAGGUACUUGUAAAAUGGGUCCCGACUCCGACCCUGCAGCCGUUGUCGAUCCUCAGUUGAGAUUCAGAGGUAUAAAGAACUUGCGCGUUGCUGACACAUCCAUCAUGCCGAUUGUGCCUAGUGGCAAUACAAAUGCACCAACGAUUAUGGUGGGAGAAAAGGCGUCUGACUUGAUUAAACAAACUUGGCUGUAAUGUAUAUAUGGAGAAAGAAUUAUACUUUUGAAGCUAUCAGUGGUUAACUGCAAUAUCAUUUUAAGAAAACAAUUUUUCUUAUUUUAUGUUUGAAUGUUCACCGAGAAAUUGGGGAACCUCGUAAAAACGGGUAACAUGAAACGAUAUAUUUCUCUCUAACAUCCCCUCUCUAAUUUUCCACUGCGACAAGGAAAUAAGUAGUUCUUCAACUUCCUUUCUAUGCUUUCUCCGAUUCAAGGUCGCGCGUUGUUCGCUGACGGUGCACGAAGAUAUCUUGGUCAAGGAUACCUUCCGUCUGAUAAAUAAAACCGUUUUUUUAUUAGUUCAUUCUCAGGUCGUCGAGCGUCAUAAUCUCCCGCCUAUAUAUCACUGUCAGUCAUUAACUAUGUCGAAACAGGUUCUUGCUGCUGCCAUGGAAAUUACUGAUGUUUAUUUUUAAAAAUUCGCGCCCUUUUUCAAUUCGAUUCAGAGGAUCGCAGACCUUAUGGUCAUUGCUGUUUUUUAAAUUGAUACUAUUUUAGCGCCUGUCCAGUUUCCGUACCGAUUCUUCAGAUAUAGAUUGAUCGAGUUCAGCUGCGAUUUAGCUGAUUAUAUCUGCCAAGCUGCCGGCAGUUGAAUCUGGAACAUCCAGCAAUUCAAACUGAAGGCUGACACGGACGAUGGGCAUGGAUUCCUUUACAACUCGUGACUCUAGUGGACACUGGCGAUACCGUCUUGGGAAAGGACUGCAAGCCAUAAACUUAACGAAUCGCACCCUGAAGACUACGUGAGAAUGUAAGGUGAGUGGAACGCUUCUCAAUGUAAAACAUGAACUAGACGUGUGGCUGUUAGUCACUUAACAACCGUCGAACCCGUCAGUACCCAUCCUCGGCUAGCAGUGAUUUUUAAUUCGCUUAAGCCUGAGUGUCGAAAAACGAAACAAAAACUACGGUAAGUGCAAUGCCAGAAUUGUUAUUGCAUCUUGGAAUUUAAAGAUGCGAAUUGCAUUCUGCCGUGAGAUGGCUUUUAUUUAACAUUUUAUUUUGGCUUUACUUGUCACUCACGGAAGAUAAUCCAUCAGUCAAAGUGAUUGAACUUGGAAAAUUUUUUGGGUAUAAUAAAGGAUUACAUGACAAGGUUCAAGGUUGUCCAUGUUCAAAAAUCUGCCGUAAAAGUAACGGGAAAUCAACGGGAGAUGAGAAAUCUUUCAAGCUAGUAAGGAGUGAUAACAUAUUAUUCAAAACUUCUUUGUUUUCCGAUUCCCUUAUAUUUAUUCUGUGUUAUCUGCGAUAUUCAUGGACUUAUGAACGUAUAAACGGCUGAGUACACGCGAUACUCCUUUUGGCGUACGUAAUGUAUUGUUGGCAGAAGUGUUGUACUUUUUCGGUCAUAGUAAUCUUAAGAUCCCAAUAUAUGCAUCCUUUCAGUUGGAACAGG
This 3703-nucleotide unclassified non-coding RNA is filed under the name Daphnia pulex (common water flea). RNAcentral describes it as "glucose dehydrogenase [FAD, quinone]-like, transcript variant X1". Lineage: Eukaryota; Metazoa; Arthropoda; Branchiopoda; Diplostraca; Daphniidae. The record is from RNAcentral.